AGAGCAAGAGUAGAGAGGGGUAUUAAAGUGUAAUCGUAGAAUUAUUAAAACUUGAAAGGGGCUAUGAAGGAUUUGUGAUGUGAGAGACUGAAGAUUUUUUACCGAAGAGAAAGACUAAAAAUGAGUGAUAAUGAACGUUUAUAAAUAAAAAGAAUAUGGUAUAAUUGAAAUUUUAUAAAUCGUGUAAGUAUAAAAUUAGAAUGCAAAAA
Molecule: unclassified non-coding RNA, 209 nt
Filed under: Hevea brasiliensis (rubber tree)
Lineage: Eukaryota; Viridiplantae; Streptophyta; Magnoliopsida; Malpighiales; Euphorbiaceae
Source: RNAcentral